CUUGACGGAGCCGAGCCAGAGCGGGCGCCCCUCGGGCCGCUGCUGCCCGUAGGUGCCGAGCAGGGCCCCCGCCUC
This 75-nucleotide antisense RNA is filed under the name Streptomyces albus subsp. albus DSM 41398. RNAcentral's name for it is "ASpks TB sRNA". It matches the Rfam family "ASpks TB sRNA". The record is from Rfam by way of RNAcentral. Lineage: Bacteria; Bacillati; Actinomycetota; Actinomycetes; Kitasatosporales; Streptomycetaceae.